AGAGUUUGAUCAUGGCUCAGAUUGAACGCUGGCGGCAGGCCUAACACAUGCAAGUCGAGCGGUAGAGAGAAGCUUGCUUCUCUUGAGAGCGGCGGACGGGUGAGUAAUGCCUAGGAAUCUGCCUGGUAGUGGGGGAUAACGUUCGGAAACGGACGCUAAUACCGCAUACGUCCUACGGGAGAAAGCAGGGGACCUUCGGGCCUUGCGCUAUCAGAUGAGCCUAGGUCGGAUUAGCUAGUUGGUGAGGUAAUGGCUCACCAAGGCGACGAUCCGUAACUGGUCUGAGAGGAUGAUCAGUCACACUGGAACUGAGACACGGUCCAGACUCCUACGGGAGGCAGCAGUGGGGAAUAUUGGACAAUGGGCGAAAGCCUGAUCCAGCCAUGCCGCGUGUGUGAAGAAGGUCUUCGGAUUGUAAAGCACUUUAAGUUGGGAGGAAGGGUUGUAGAUUAAUACUCUGCAAUUUUGACGUUACCGACAGAAUAAGCACCGGCUAACUCUGUGCCAGCAGCCGCGGUAAUACAGAGGGUGCAAGCGUUAAUCGGAAUUACUGGGCGUAAAGCGCGCGUAGGUGGUUUGUUAAGUUGGAUGUGAAAUCCCCGGGCUCAACCUGGGAACUGCAUUCAAAACUGACUGACUAGAGUAUGGUAGAGGGUGGUGGAAUUUCCUGUGUAGCGGUGAAAUGCGUAGAUAUAGGAAGGAACACCAGUGGCGAAGGCGACCACCUGGACUAAUACUGACACUGAGGUGCGAAAGCGUGGGGAGCAAACAGGAUUAGAUACCCUGGUAGUC
RNAcentral lists this ribosomal RNA (792 nucleotides) under uncultured bacterium. Its description in RNAcentral is "bacterial SSU rRNA". It matches the Rfam family "Bacterial small subunit ribosomal RNA", at positions 8 to 795 of the family's 1533-position model. The record is from RNAcentral.